Molecule: non-coding RNA, 392 nt
Organism: Parasteatoda tepidariorum (common house spider)
Lineage: Eukaryota; Metazoa; Arthropoda; Arachnida; Araneae; Theridiidae
Source: RefSeq, a predicted model, not a curated record
AUAUCUAUCAUUUUUAUGCAUAUUUUAUACAUUACAAAUGAAAAUACUCAUCUAAUGACAUUUGUUGUAUUUCAGGAGCAACAGGUCUGGGCAGAAGAGGACAUCGAAUCAAUUUAGCCGACAUUCUAAGCAAAGAAUUUGAACCUAGAUUAUUCAAUGGCAGUUGGGUUUCAGAUGACCAACUUGUAUAUAGAGAUAAAGAUGGACACCUAAUUUUGUACUCCAUCAGAUUAAAAACGACAAAAAGAAUACUACAUAACUCAAUUUUUAGAGAAACAAGAGCUGUUAAAUAUAGUAUGUCAUCAGAUUUGAAAUACAUUUUAUUGUGCUACGACAUAACUCAGGUCUUCAAAUAUUCAUUUGAAGCAAGAUAUAAAAUAUAUGAUGUAGAG